Pecten maximus is the source of this 313-nucleotide long non-coding RNA. RefSeq lists it as uncharacterized. Lineage: Eukaryota; Metazoa; Mollusca; Bivalvia; Pectinida; Pectinidae. The record is from RefSeq and is a predicted model, not a curated record. The transcript is spliced from 3 exons.
UGUUUUAUGUCAAGCAACAUGGUCUUCGUUCUGGUGUUCGACGUGGCGAUGUGUCUUGAUCCUACUAGGUCAAAGGAUGGCUAUGGAUCGAAACCUGGCUGAGGUCUAUUGCUACCUAUGCUAUUGACCAAGCCGCCAGUGGUAAAGGGACGCCUCCCGUAAUCCUGGUUGGAUCUCACUUGGAUAAAGUUUCUCAAGAUAAACAAAAACAGGAAGAAGCAUUUGGCGAAGUGCUGAACAAAUUGUACGAGAACCCUCAACUAAGUGCAAUUAUGGAAAAUCACGUACAGGAAAUGUAUCCAAUCGCCCACCU